GCCCUUAGAGUUUGAUCCUGGCUCAGGAUGAACGCUGGCGGCGUGCCUAACACAUGCAAGUCGAGCGAUUCUCUUCGGAGAAGAGCGGCGGACGGGUGAGUAACGCGUGGGUAACCUGCCCUGUACACACGGAUAACAUACCGAAAGGUAUGCUAAUACGGGAUAACAUAAGAAAUUCGCAUGUUUUUCUUAUCAAAGCUCCGGCGGUAUAGGAUGGACCCGCGUCUGAUUAGCUAGUUGGUGAGGUAACGGCUCACCAAGGCGACGAUCAGUAGCCGACCUGAGAGGGUGAUCGGCCACAUUGGAACUGAGACACGGUCCAAACUCCUACGGGAGGCAGCAGUGGGGAAUAUUGCACAAUGGGCGAAAGCCUGAUGCAGCAACGCCGCGUGAGCGAUGAAGGCCUUCGGGUCGUAAAGCUCUGUCCUCAAGGAAGAUAAAGACGGUACUGAGGAGGAAGCCCCGGCUACUCU
This 473-nucleotide ribosomal RNA is filed under the name uncultured bacterium. RNAcentral describes it as "bacterial SSU rRNA". It matches the Rfam family "Bacterial small subunit ribosomal RNA", at positions 1 to 503 of the family's 1533-position model. The record is from RNAcentral.